AUGCCGACCUCCUCGCACGACGGCGGCGACGGCCUCCCCUGCGUAUCCGCUUCCUCCAUCGUUGCUAGCGCCGUGUGCGGCUACCACUUGCUCAAGAUCUCCGGCUACUCACGCACCCAGGAGGUUCCCAACGGCGAUUGGAUCGACUGUUGCCCGUUCCAGGUGGGAGGCCGCAAAUGGCAUGUGCGUUACUAUCCCAACGGGGAGACCUCCAAGGACGUCGACUAUAUCCCUCUUUCUCCUCUUCGAUGA
Molecule: ribosomal RNA, 252 nt
Filed under: Triticum aestivum (bread wheat)
Lineage: Eukaryota; Viridiplantae; Streptophyta; Magnoliopsida; Poales; Poaceae
Description: partial small subunit ribosomal RNA
Source: RNAcentral